This is a long non-coding RNA of Gymnodraco acuticeps, 524 nucleotides long. RefSeq lists it as uncharacterized. Lineage: Eukaryota; Metazoa; Chordata; Actinopteri; Perciformes; Bathydraconidae. The record is from RefSeq and is a predicted model, not a curated record. The transcript has 2 exons.
CUAAUUAAGGAAGAAUAAAGUCUUUACUUCUCAAAUGUAUUGUAAUUUUGUAUUGCAAAUAAAAAUUCAACAGAUAAGUAGGUAUACUUAUAUAAACUUAAUUUAUUUACAGUUGCAGGCAAAACAUUUCAACAGGAAAUUAAAUAUAGUCUAUAACUAGCAUUGUUCAAGUUUACUUUAAGCAACAAGCUUUGCCUAAUUACAGUAUGUCAUCUUGAGUACUAGGAUUGCUUGGAAUGUGAAAAACAUUACAAGAUUAGAAAAUAACACUUUGGUAAAAAUAAUUGCUAUUCAUAUUUUGCUUUAGGACAAAGCAGCAGAAGCUGUUCAAAGUGGAUGAAAGACUGAAGGUACUGGGAGUGUCGUCCUGUUUGUGCCCGCCCAUCUAGAGGCAAAGCCUCAAGAAGGCUUGCCCAGCUGGGAGGUUCACUUUCUGAUCCUGAUCCUGGCCUGCUGCAGCAACCUCAGCCUUCCACCUGUGUUUGUAUUUUCACAAAUAGAAUAAAGAUUUCACAAAUCUGAAA